GUGCCUAAUACAUGCAAGUCGAGCGAAUGACAAGGAGCUUGCUCCUUGAUUAGCGGCGGACGGGUGAGUAACACGUGGGUAACCUACCCUAUAGACUGGGAUAACUUCGGGAAACCGGAGCUAAUACCGGAUAAUACCUUGAAACACAUGUUUUGAAGUUGAAAGAUGGUUUCGGCUAUCACUAUAGGAUGGACCCGCGGCGCAUUAGCUAGUUGGUGGGGGUAAUGGCUCACCAAGGCAACGAUGCGUAGCCGACCUGAGAGGGUGAUCGGCCACACUGGGACUGAGACACGGCCCAGACUCCUACGGGAGGCAGCAGUAGGGAAUCUUCCACAAUGGACGAAAGUCUGAUGGAGCAACGCCGCCGUGAGUGAAGAAGGAUUUCGGUUCGUAAAACUCUGUUGCAAGGGAAGAACAAGUAGCGUAGUAACUGGCGCUACCUUGACGGUACCUUGUUAGAAAGCCACGGCUAACUACGUGCCAGCCGCGGC
RNAcentral lists this ribosomal RNA (491 nucleotides) under uncultured bacterium. RNAcentral describes it as "bacterial SSU rRNA". It matches the Rfam family "Bacterial small subunit ribosomal RNA", at positions 44 to 518 of the family's 1533-position model. The record is from RNAcentral.